GACAGAGGGUGCAAACGUUGCUCGGAAUCACUGGGCGUAAAGGGCGUGUAGGCGGGAAGGAAAGUCAGAUGUGAAAGCCCUGGGCUCAACCCAGGAACUGCAUUUGAAACUCCCUUUCUUGAGUGUCGGAGAGGAAAGCGGAAUUCCAGGUGUAGCGGUGAAAUGCGUAGAUAUCUGGAGGAAUACCGGUGGCGAAGGCGGCAUCCUGGACCGACAUUGACGCUGAGGAGCGAAAGCUAGGGGAGCAAACGGG
RNAcentral lists this ribosomal RNA (253 nucleotides) under uncultured bacterium. Its description in RNAcentral is "partial 16S ribosomal RNA". It matches the Rfam family "Bacterial small subunit ribosomal RNA", at positions 524 to 776 of the family's 1533-position model. The record is from RNAcentral.